UAGGUACUGCGGGUGCUUACACAUGCAGUCGAGCGAUGAAGCCCAGCUUGCUGGGUGGAUUAGUGGCGAACGGGUGAGUAACACGUGAGUAACCUGCCCUUAACUCUGGGAUAAGCCUGGGAAACUGGGUCUAAUACCGGAUAGGAGCGCCUACCGCAUGGUGGGUGUUGGAAAGAUUUAUCGGUUUUGGAUGGACUCGCGGCCUAUCAGCUUGUUGGUGAGGUAAUGGCUCACCAAGGCGACGACGGGUAGCCGGCCUGAGAGGAUACGGCACACUGCGACUGAGACCGGACAGACUCCUACGGGAGGCAGCAGUGGAAAUUUGCACAAUGGCCGCAAGCCUGAUGCAGCGACGCCGCUGAGGGAUGAAGCCUUCGGGUUGUAAACCUCUUUCAGUAGGGAAGAAGCGAAAGUGACGGUACCUGCAGAAGAAGCACCCACUAACUACGUGCCAGCAGCCGCGGUAAUACGUAGGGUGCGACCGUCAUCCGGAAUUAUUGGGCGUAAAGAGCUCGUAGCGGGUUGUCGCGUCUGUCGUGAAAGUCCGGGGCUUAACCCCGGAUCUGCGGUGGGUACGGGCAGACUAGAGUGCAGUAGGGGAGACUGGAAUUCCUGGUGUAGCGGUGGAAUGCGCAGAUAUCACGAGGAACACCGAUGGCGAAGGCAGGUCUCUGGGCUGUAACUGACGCUGAGGAGCGAAAGCAUGGGGAGCGAACAGGAUUAGAUACCCUGGUAGUCCAUGCCGUAACGUUGGGCACUAGGUGUGGCGACCAUUCCACGGUUUCCGCGCCGCAGCUAACGCAUUAAGUGCCCCGCCUGGGGAGUACGGCCGCAAGGCUAAAACUCAAAGGAAUUGACAGGGGCCCGCACAAGCGGCGGAGCAUGCGGAUAAUUCGAUGCAACGCGAAGAACCGUACCAAGGCUUGACAUGUUCUCGAUCGCCGUAAAGAUACGGUUUCCCCUUUGGCGCGGGUUCACAGGUGGUGCAUGAUUGUCGUCAGCUCGUGUCGUGAGAUGCUGGGUUAAGUCCCGCAACGAGCGCAACCCUCGUUCCAAGUUGCCAGCACGUAAUGGUGGGGACUCAUGGGAGACUGCGGGAUCAACUCGCAGGAAGGUGAGGACGACGUCAAAUCAUCAUGCCCUAGGCAUACCCUCACGCAUGCUACAAUGGACGCAUGCGUACGAUACUGUGAGGUGGAGCUAAUCCCAAAAAGCCGGUCUCAGUUCGGAUUGGGGUCUGCAACUCGACCCCAUGAAGUCGGAGUCGCUAGUAAUCGCAGAUCAGCAACGCUGCGGUGAAUACGUUCCCGGGCCUUGUACACACCGCCCGUCAAGUCACGAAAGUCGGUAACACCCGAAGCCGGUGGCCUAACCCUUGUGGAGGAGCCGUCGAAGGUGACCCCAAGUUU
Molecule: ribosomal RNA, 1409 nt
Rfam family: Bacterial small subunit ribosomal RNA